This is a long non-coding RNA of Sander lucioperca (pikeperch), 166 nucleotides long. RefSeq lists it as uncharacterized. Lineage: Eukaryota; Metazoa; Chordata; Actinopteri; Perciformes; Percidae. The record is from RefSeq and is a predicted model, not a curated record. The transcript has 3 exons.
AGGAAAGUUCUUGCAUGUUUGAGAAGUUAUGUUUUGUCCAUUUUGUGGAGUGAACCUUCAACACGUUCUGUCAUAUUGUGGGAAAUGUGGCAGAAAUGUUCAGUUUUUAUGGAGUCUGCAAGAUGAAGGUCCUGAAGCUACAAUGGCAGACAAACUUAUUCUGAAG